AUUGAACGCUGGCGGCAGGCCUAACACAUGCAAGUCGAGCGGAUGAAGGGAGCUUGCUCCUGGAUUCAGCGGCGGACGGGUGAGUAAUGCCUAGGAAUCUGCCUGGUAGUGGGGGAUAACGUCCGGAAACGGGCGCUAAUACCGCAUACGUCCUGAGGGAGAAAGUGGGGGAGCUUCGGACCUCACGCUAUCAGAUGAGCCUAGGUCGGAUUAGCUAGUUGGUGGGGUAAAGGCCUACCAAGGCGACGAUCCGUAACUGGUCUGAGAGGAUGAUCAGUCACACUGGAACUGAGACACGGUCCAGACUCCUACGGGAGGCAGCAGUGGGGAAUAUUGGACAAUGGGCGAAAGCCUGAUCCAGCCAUGCCGCGUGUGAAGAAGGUCUUCGGAUUGUAAAGCACUUUAAGUUGGGAGGAAGGGCAGUAAGUUAAUACCUUGCUGUUUUGACGUUACCAACAGAAUAAGCACCGGCUAACUUCGUG
This 482-nucleotide ribosomal RNA is filed under the name uncultured bacterium. RNAcentral's name for it is "partial 16S ribosomal RNA". It matches the Rfam family "Bacterial small subunit ribosomal RNA", at positions 30 to 507 of the family's 1533-position model. The record is from RNAcentral.